Molecule: long non-coding RNA, 573 nt
Filed under: Parus major (Great Tit)
Lineage: Eukaryota; Metazoa; Chordata; Aves; Passeriformes; Paridae
Description: lncRNA (ENSPMJG00000009697.1)
Source: RNAcentral
CCAGCUUUCCUUCUGCCUUAGUCACAGCCCCAGUUAACAACUGCAUACAAGGGAGUCUGAGCAUCACCCCAGAUCUGUACACAUGAAAGAAAAAAAGAAAAGCAGGAAGGAGAACCCAUACUACCUCCAUAGUUCUAAAUCACAACAAGACAUUUCUUGGCACAGCGUUUGAGCCAAGGGCCUCACCAUAGAUCUGGAACAGGAGGAGGAUGUGAGUCACACCAGUAUUUGAUGAAUUGAUGAUUAAGACUUGUCUUAACUCCUGAUUAAGACACUGACCUUGUUCUAGGUAUCUCUCUUAGGCAUUAAGAUAUUUAAUCAUGGCUUUGCUUCUGUAGAGGCAGUUUUUGAUAUUCUCGUUUGUACAGGAUGGUUUACCCUCUGUGAGCAGUCCUGCUGAUUUUUGUGGAGCCACUCAAGGAAAAGGUACUUGGUGGCAUAAGGCUGGGACGUAAAAGUCAUCCAGUUAUUACGUGUACUCCCUGUGGUAAAAAAAAAAUCACUAUUUACUUUUGUCACAGAUUUUGUCAUCAAUGUGACAAAAAAUAUUAAAAUACUAAAUCUGUAAUCAGG